AGGACUUUUACAAUUUCAAGUCUUAUGUUGAAGUCUUCAAUUCAUUUGGAGUACGUUUUUGUGAGUGGUGUAAGGAUGUUGCACCUGGAAGAAGAAUGGGGGCCGGAAGGGAGAGUUCUUUUCUUUCUCAGCCACAUAAGUAUCCAUCCCCGUAUCUCUUGCGUCGAGCACAGACCUAACAGUACAAGGAUUCUACACCUCGAUUCUGGCAGAUGUCAACACCACUAGACAUUCUCUUGGCAAGGUCAAGAUUCAGCAGUACUGGCAAAUGGCAACACAGGGAGACCAAGAGACUGUAGAAGGUCGGGCAGUGGAACCCCACGUCUGCUACACUACAAGGUUGUGAGAGUUUAUAUUCCAUGACACCAAAAGAUGGCAAACUCGGGACGCUAGAGACAUUCCUACUUCAAGGCUUCAGGAGAUCCUGGUGCCAGAACAUGGGAUUUCUUCUGGAAUCCAGUCCACUCUUUACCUGUUUACUCGGCACAAUUUUCAAGAGAAUCCUUUGGGUCAAAGGACCAUCUGUGCAUUUGAAGUUCCUCCAGAUUCAAAUCCA
Molossus molossus (Pallas's mastiff bat) is the source of this 556-nucleotide long non-coding RNA. RefSeq lists it as uncharacterized. The record is from RefSeq and is a predicted model, not a curated record. The transcript has 3 exons. Lineage: Eukaryota; Metazoa; Chordata; Mammalia; Chiroptera; Molossidae.